RNAcentral lists this long non-coding RNA (199 nucleotides) under Elaeis guineensis (African oil palm). Its description in RNAcentral is "long non-coding RNA (EGUI_LNC051415)". Lineage: Eukaryota; Viridiplantae; Streptophyta; Magnoliopsida; Arecales; Arecaceae. The record is from RNAcentral.
CAGCGUAUAUAUUAAAUAAAGUACUUUCAGAAUCUGUUUCUAGCACUCCAUAUGAAAUAUGGAAAAGAAAAAGACCAAAUCUUAAGUAUCUUAAGAUUUAUGGUUGCCUAGCUUUGUGAAAUAUGUUGAUGGACAUAAGCUGGAUGCUAGAUCAGAAAAAUAUAGGUUUGUAGGUUAUUUCAAGAGAGUAUAGGAUACU